This 460-nucleotide ribosomal RNA is filed under the name uncultured bacterium. RNAcentral's name for it is "partial 16S ribosomal RNA". It matches the Rfam family "Bacterial small subunit ribosomal RNA", at positions 338 to 795 of the family's 1533-position model. The record is from RNAcentral.
CCUACGGGAGGCAGCAGUGAGGAAUAUUGGUCAAUGGGCGCAAGUCUGAACCAGCCAAGUCGCGUGCAGGAUGACGGCCCUAUGGGUUGUAAACUGCUUUUAUCGGGGAAUAAAGUUAUUCACGUGUGGAUUUUUGCAUGUACCCCAUGAAUAAGCAUCGGCUAAUUCCGUGCCAGCAGCCGCGGUAAUACGGAGGAUGCGAGCGUUAUCCGGAUUUCUUGGGGUUAAAGGGUGCGGAGGCCGUCUCUUAAGUGAGCUGUGAAAGUUUGCGGCUCAACCUUGGAAUUGCCGUUGAAACUGGGAGACGUGAGUGUGCUUGAGGUAGGCGGAAUGCGUGGUGUAGCGGUGAAAUGCAUAGAUAUCACGCAGAACUCCGAUUGCGAAGGCAGCGUACUGUGGCAUAACUGACGCUGAAGCACGAAGGCGUGGGUAUCGAACAGGAUUAGAUACCCCGGUAGUC